GUCAAAUGUAAAUUAAGAACACAUGAUAAGACCAAAGGUCAUCAUAACUAUUUUAAUGAAACAAUCAUGUAGGUUUGCGUCGUUUCUGUGUUCAUCGUGUUGGUAAUUGGUUCUAUUGCCGGCACUGAUUCAUGCGAUAAUAUAGAUUGUUCCCACGAAAUUGGCCAUCUUGGUUUUGUAAUGCCACGUUCGUCAAUACAUGUCUGUGGUAGCGACGGAGUUGAGUACACCAACCUUUGUGACUUCCGAAAAGCUUAUUGCAGAAACCCUACACUGACUGUACACGUUGGAAACUGCUAGAAAGAUGAUUAACAUGUGGAGUUAUCUGUAAGACGUAACAAUAAAUAUUAAAUUGUA
Long non-coding RNA from Mercenaria mercenaria, 357 nucleotides. RefSeq lists it as uncharacterized. NCBI's taxonomy places the organism in Eukaryota, Metazoa, Mollusca, Bivalvia, Venerida, Veneridae. The record is from RefSeq and is a predicted model, not a curated record. The transcript has 3 exons.